UUUGUUUUAAAUUAGAGAUGCAGAUGCAGGGUACCAUCCCUGAUCACACUGCUGAUCAAGAUGAUCUCCCAUAUCUUGAGAAACGGGAAGCCGCUUCCAGCGCUGGAUGCUCAGCAUUGAGGGCCAAAUUGUGUGUGAAGGGAUCCAGUCCACCUUCCUGUUUUUACAUCUUUAACCUACAGUACCAAGAGGAGGCAGCCUGCACGCUUGAAUUCAUCCAGAGAUGCUUUGUGGGUAUAAACCCAGAAAAAAGGACAAAGGUUGCAAAGGGGAAAAAAACGAAGAAUGG
Perca flavescens (yellow perch) is the source of this 289-nucleotide long non-coding RNA. RefSeq lists it as uncharacterized. The transcript has 3 exons. Lineage: Eukaryota; Metazoa; Chordata; Actinopteri; Perciformes; Percidae. The record is from RefSeq and is a predicted model, not a curated record.